GUCCAGACUCCUACGGGAGGCAGCAGUGAGGAAUAUUGGUCAAUGGACGCAAGUCUGAACCAGCCAAGUAGCGUGCAGGAUGACGGCCCUCCGGGUUGUAAACUGCUUUUAGUUGGGAAUAAAAGGGGGCUCGUGAGCCCCGUAUUGUAUGUACCAUCAGAAAAAGGACCGGCUAAUUCCGUGCCAGCAGCCGCGGUAAUACGUAGGGGGCAAGCGUUAUCCGGAUUUACUGGGUGUAAAGGGAGCGUAGACGGCAGUGCAAGUCCGGAGUGAAAGCCCGGGGCUCAACCCUGGGACUGCUCUGGAAACUGUAAAGCUGGAGUGCGGGAGAGGCAGGCGGAAUUCCUGGUGUAGCGGUGAAAUGCGUAGAUAUCAGGAGGAACACCGGCGGCGAAGGCGGCCUGCUGGACCGUAACUGACGUUGAGGCUCGAAAGCGUGGGGAGCAAACAGGAUUAGAUACCCGUGUAUU
Molecule: ribosomal RNA, 470 nt
Filed under: uncultured bacterium
Lineage: Bacteria
Description: partial 16S ribosomal RNA
Rfam family: Bacterial small subunit ribosomal RNA
Source: RNAcentral